This 555-nucleotide ribosomal RNA is filed under the name Triticum aestivum (bread wheat). Its description in RNAcentral is "partial small subunit ribosomal RNA". The record is from RNAcentral. Lineage: Eukaryota; Viridiplantae; Streptophyta; Magnoliopsida; Poales; Poaceae.
AUGAUAUCGUUCAAAGAGUUCGAGGACAUCACCAAUAAAUUUUCCGAAAAGCAACUACAUGGUGAAAGUAUCUUUGGUGCUGUUUAUGAGGGUACACGUGUGGAUGGGGAAGAGAUGAUUGUGAUCAAACUGAAAGAGCAUAGGAGACCAUCAGAGACCCAGUUUAACCUGGUGGUAAAUGGUCUGAGAUUCGAGCACAAAAAUAUUCUACAACUUAAGGGUUACUGUGAUGAAACAGUUGAAGCAGCGAGUAAGAGGUUGCUCUGUUACGAGCUUUUGCAGAACGGUAGUCUGGACAGGAAAAUUUUUGGUGACCAAUCUCUCACACAACAUCCUUGGGAAGAACGUUACCGAAUAAUACAAGACAUAUGCAAGGUUUUGCAGUACCUACAUGAAGAAUGUAAAGAUGUCCACAUGGGCAUAACAGCAGGUAAUAUAUGGCUGGAUAAUGACAUGCUCCCGAAGGUUGGGUGUUGCGGUCUAUCAAGGAUCUUCGCUGCAGACCCGACUCAGAUAUACAAUACAAAGGGGAUACCUUGCACCGGAGCACAUUGA